AGUGAACGCUGGCGGUAGGCCUAACACAUGCAAGUCGAACGGCAGCACAGUAAGAGCUUGCUCUUACGGGUGGCGAGUGGCGGACGAGUGAGGAAUACAUCGGAAUCUACUUUUUCGUGGGGGAUAACGUAGGGAAACUUACGCUAAUACCGCAUACGACCUACGGGUGAAAGCAGGGGAUCUUCGGACCUUGCGCGAUUGAAUGAGCCGAUGUCGGAUUAGCUAGUUGGCGGGGUAAAGGCCCACCAAGGCGACGAUCCGUAGCUGGUCUGAGAGGAUGAUCAGCCACACUGGAACUGAGACACGGUCCAGACUCCUACGGGAGGCAGCAGUGGGGAAUAUUGGACAAUGGGCGCAAGCCUGAUCCAGCCAUACCGCGUGGGUGAAGAAGGCCUUCGGGUUGUAAAGCCCUUUUGUUGGGAAAGAAAAGCAGCAGGUUAAUACCCCGCUGUUCUGACGGUACCCAGAGAAUAAGCACCGGCUAACUUCGUG
Molecule: ribosomal RNA, 492 nt
Filed under: uncultured bacterium
Lineage: Bacteria
Description: partial 16S ribosomal RNA
Rfam family: Bacterial small subunit ribosomal RNA
Source: RNAcentral